UGGGGGAUAUUGCACAAUGGGCGAAAGCCUGAUGCAGCGACGCCGCGUGGGGGAUGAAGGCUUUCGGGUUGUAAACCUCUUUCGCUAUCGAACAAGGCCCGCUUAGGGUGGGUUGAGGGUAGGUGGAGAAGAAGCGCCGGCUAACUACGUGCCAGCAGCCGCGGUAAUACGUAGGGCGCGAGCGUUGUCCGGAAUCACUGGGCGUAAAGGGUUCGCAGGCGGAAAUGCAAGUCAGGUGUAAAAGGCAGUAGCUUAACUACUGUAAGCAUUUGAAACUGCAUAUCUUGAGAAGAGUAGAGGUAAGUGGAAUUUUUAGUGUAGCGGUGAAAUGCGUAGAUAUUAAAAAGAAUACCGGUGGCGAAGGCGACUUACUGGGCUCAUUCUGACGCUGAGGAACGAAAGCGUGGGUAGCAAACAGG
RNAcentral lists this ribosomal RNA (419 nucleotides) under Chloroflexota bacterium. RNAcentral describes it as "Chloroflexi bacterium partial 16S ribosomal RNA". It matches the Rfam family "Bacterial small subunit ribosomal RNA", at positions 355 to 776 of the family's 1533-position model. The record is from RNAcentral. Lineage: Bacteria; Bacillati; Chloroflexota.